RNAcentral lists this unclassified non-coding RNA (200 nucleotides) under Sebacina sp. RNAcentral describes it as "partial internal transcribed spacer 2". Lineage: Eukaryota; Fungi; Basidiomycota; Agaricomycetes; Sebacinales; Sebacinaceae. The record is from RNAcentral.
UUAAGUUCAGCGGGUGGUCCUACUCGAUUUGAGGUCAAGUUGUCAGUCAUUGUCCGAAGACGGUUUGAAGCACAGAGCUCCCGAUCAGCCACCCUCUAGUGAGGUGCCGGCGAAACACUUAUUACGCCGUACUAUGUCCAACCAAGAGUUGCACGAAUCCAUUUGAGGUGAGCCACGGUAAGCAGCAACACCCAAGUCCA